RNAcentral lists this non-coding RNA (98 nucleotides) under unclassified sequences. RNAcentral describes it as "pemK RNA". It matches the Rfam family "pemK RNA". The record is from RNAcentral.
ACAAUGAUACUCCCGUCCAGUCACAGCCCCUUAUAUAUGAAGGGAUCACGCAAUGAGGGCGGCUCCCGGAGAACCCGGGAGGGGUUAGACUCCCGUGG